AGGCAGACAUCAAUUUUAUGGACAAUAGCAAUAUUUAUUUAACAUGCUGCUUAAGCACCCUAGAACAGACAGCGUACAUUUGCAUGUGUUCUGUAGUAGCAAACCAUUACAAUAUAUAUGUCACACCUUUUUGCAUUUCAUAUUGCAAAAUUUUGCUUUUUCAAUUUCUGAUUCAGUCAAAAUUUCUGUUCCAGACAUGCAGUAAUGAGGACGGCACCAGUAUAAAGCAACACACUCCACGCACUAAACAGAAGCUGCUGCCUGCUACAACAAGGUCGUUGUGUGGACGUUGGCUACUACUACAAGAGUCUAUGCCAAGCACAUCUUGGCCAUCACAGGAGCUCCUAUCUGCACCAACAGGAAGGGGCUGGAGCCGAAUUUGCAAGGCUUUCACACCACGAACAAAGAAGCGCAUGCAGAAGAAUAUGGAUGAGAUAUCAAGUUUGCAGAGGACUGUGUUAAGACUGAAAAGAGCUUCAGCCACCAUUCCACCUGCACGGACAUUUGGCUGAGUCAUCCAGGUAACUCAAAAAGGACUUUCUAGAAAUUCGUCUUCAGAUGCACUUGCAACAUCCGACCAAGCACGGACGAUGCUGGCGAAAAGAUAGAAUUCCGUCAGUUUGCCCUUAAUCAGCUUCCUAGCCAUGUCAAUUCCGUUUGUGCCAAGUGUAUUUUUUCUUCUAUAAAUGCAAGCUUUUUCAUUGCC
RNAcentral lists this long non-coding RNA (706 nucleotides) under Dermacentor andersoni. Its description in RNAcentral is "uncharacterized LOC126547943". The record is from RNAcentral. Lineage: Eukaryota; Metazoa; Arthropoda; Arachnida; Ixodida; Ixodidae.